This 333-nucleotide ribosomal RNA is filed under the name Triticum aestivum (bread wheat). RNAcentral describes it as "partial small subunit ribosomal RNA". Lineage: Eukaryota; Viridiplantae; Streptophyta; Magnoliopsida; Poales; Poaceae. The record is from RNAcentral.
AUGUGUGCUUUUUUCAAACAAUUUAGAAAGAUAGCUUUUCUGAUCAAGCUCUCUGUUCUAUGUACAGCAAUAGUCAUGUCCUGCCUUCUAGUCUCGCAUGACCUCUUAAUAGUUUUUCUGAUCAAGAUUUUUUUGUUCUCAUGUACAGUAAGAGUGGUAAACUACUUAAACAAUGAUUCAUUUGGUUUCAAAUCGUGCACAUAUGCUAUUUAUCUAGUUUCUAACCCAAAUCUGAUAGGAUAUAUGAGACCAUCUUAUUCUGUGAUAUUUGUUGUGCCUACUUAUACUCUAAAUUUGCAUUCUCUUGUAAAGUUCAGUACAUUUGCCUUAUAA